GAUGAACGCUGGCGGCGUGCCUAAUACAUGCAAGUCGAGCGAACGGACGAGAAGCUUGCUUUUCUGAUGUUAGCGGCGGACGGGUGAGUACCACGUGGAUAACCUACCUAUAAGACUGGGAUAACUUCGGGAAACCGGAGCUAAUACCGGAUAAUAUUUUGAACCGCAUGGUUCAUAAGUGAAAGACGGUCUUGCUGUCACUUAUAGAUGGAUCCGCGCUGCAUUAGCUAGUUGGUAAGGUAACGGCUUACCAAGGCAACGAUGCAUAGCCGACCUGAGAGGGUGAUCGGCCACACUGGAACUGAGACACGGUCCAGACUCCUACGGGAGGCAGCAGUAGGGAAUCUUCCGCAAUGGGCGAAAGCCUGACGGAGCAACGCCGCGUGAGUGAUGAAGGUCUUCGGAUCGUAAAACUCUGUUAUUAGGGAAGAACAUAUGUGUAAGUAACUGUGCACAUCUUGACGGUACCUAAUCAGAAAGCCACGGCUAACUACGUG
RNAcentral lists this ribosomal RNA (497 nucleotides) under uncultured bacterium. RNAcentral's name for it is "partial 16S ribosomal RNA". It matches the Rfam family "Bacterial small subunit ribosomal RNA", at positions 28 to 507 of the family's 1533-position model. The record is from RNAcentral.